AUUUUUUUUUCAGGGUGAAAGAGCUACCUUCUGUUCAUCCCCAAAUUGGAAAAUACACUCGUCCUGACAAACCGUCCCCUUUGACAUUGGAAAGCAUACUGCCUGAAUGUGGAGUAAAGGAAGCUAAGGGUUUGAGUUCCUUCUGGACAAACUACGGAAAGUUUCUACCGAGUCUGGAAUGAGGAAAUAUCCGUCGUGUCCGCCAACAAGAUGAAAAUGAAGAGUGUUUCAUGACAGCACUUUCUACUCCCUGAUUUGUCGGGCACACAACUGACCCAUCCACACUCACUGCAAUUUGGAAAUCUUUCAAUAUUCAAACCCUUUCCCCUGACUUCAGCUUUUGCAUCAUAAAUGAUUUGCUAAUGUCAGACUUGGAGGUUUUUUAUUAUUAUGAUGAUUUGUUCUUAAAAUGAAAUGAAGUGGAUUCUCCACUGGCACUUGUGUAACUAACUGUACAGGGCGAGUCAAAAAGUGAGUGACCGAGUCAGAACAAGCAAGCGCAAACCUCCACCAAGGCUAAACAAUUCCCCGCCAUAUUGUGAGUACAGUACACCCAAAAGAAACACUCGCAUAAAUGGUGAAGAACACUUGAAAUAAAUCCUGCAUCCAGACCAAGAUCCGGAUCACUUCCAAAAUUUAAUCGAAUUUUAUGUGCAAAUACAUCCAUAACUGUUUGAGUUAUCUUGUUAACAGACAAACCAAUAAGAUAGAUGUGGGGAUUAAUAAGAUUGUGGGGAUUGAUUCAUGCUUGCAGAAAAUUUAAUGUCCUACCUGAUUGUAAAGUCACCAAUGUGAUCAUUUAAGCAUCCUGUGAAAUCGCAGCUCCUGGUAUGCUGUCAUUUUCAAGAAAAGAGAAAUUACCAUCAUUUCCUAUGAUGGUUUAGACGGAGGAAUUUGCAAUCAGUUCCAUAUCUGUAAAUGAGAACCAUUUUCCCAAGUCACAAACUGGGAUCAUACCACACAAGGUUUCAAGUCAAAAAGUAUCAAUAAACAAUUUGGAAGGGACGGAGGGCAUUCAACGGACCCUCUUUUUCUUGUCGAUCAAAACGAAGAUGUACUUUCACAGUCUUCCCAAAAGGAAUAUGUAUUUGAGCUGAAAUUUCGACAGAUUAGUUUUUCAAUAUCCUGCUUCACAUUUGUUGUUCCUUGAAUUGGCACAAAAUGUUUAAUUUUUUUUUCAAAUGGUGUCCAUUACCUUUAACUUGUGUACAUAAAGAGAAAUUGUCAUGGAAAAUAUUGGUUUCUCAAGUUUUAUUCUGAUAAAUAUUUUUAUGUAUUCAUGUAUUUCCUGAAUCCAAUUUGAAUAAUUAAUUUGCCUACUGUUUUAAGUAUAUGUAAAUAUGUAUUUAUUGUCUGUGUUUACAGAUUUUACAGGGCAUCGUGUUUUAUUAUAAUUUUUUUAUGUUGAAUUUGUAUACUAUACUGGAUUAACAAUAAAUAUUUGAUUCCAUAGUGCCUCCAAAA
This is a long non-coding RNA of Patiria miniata (bat star), 1464 nucleotides long. RefSeq lists it as uncharacterized. The transcript is spliced from 2 exons. NCBI's taxonomy places the organism in Eukaryota, Metazoa, Echinodermata, Asteroidea, Valvatida, Asterinidae. The record is from RefSeq and is a predicted model, not a curated record.